Molecule: unclassified non-coding RNA, 363 nt
Filed under: uncultured fungus
Lineage: Eukaryota; Fungi
Description: sequence contains ITS1
Rfam family: 5.8S ribosomal RNA (bases 1-105)
Source: RNAcentral
GAAACGCGAUAGGUAUUGUGAAUUGCAGAAUUUCGUGAAUCAUCGAAUCUUUGAACGCAUAUUGCGCCUUCCGGUAUUCCGGGAGGCAUGCCUGUUUGAGCGUCAGUUUACACUCACAAGUGUUAACUUGUGUUAACAUUCUGUGGUAUUGAGUAAAAGAGGGGCUUGAUUAAUGCAUGAUCCUGAGUCUCUGACUUUAAAUAGAUGGGCCGACUUCCUCGUUCCUGAUUUAGUGUGAUAGGUAAACUCCAACUCACGAACAUCGGUUGAGCUUGAGGAAACGAUGCCAAAUUUUAUUUGCUUUCAUUAAGUAAACUUGAAUCUUUUGACCUCAAAUCAGGUAGGGAUACCCGCUGAACUUAA